Molecule: long non-coding RNA, 2557 nt
Organism: Brassica napus (rape)
Lineage: Eukaryota; Viridiplantae; Streptophyta; Magnoliopsida; Brassicales; Brassicaceae
Exons: 2
Source: RefSeq, a predicted model, not a curated record
AAUAAUUUUUAUUGAUGAACUUACCUGCUAAUUUAAAUUAAUGAUAUUAUUUUCUCUUAUUCUCUAUUUUUAUCAUUGAUUUGGAAAUGUAAUAAAUUUCACUAAAAUUCAUAGUAACUAAUUCACUUGUUUUAGAGAAGUCAACACUAUAAUUCAUAGUAACUUCAUGUGUUUCAGAGACUUUAAUUAAAUCUAUUAAACUACUUUCCAAUUAAAAUUACAUUAAAUAACACUAAACUUCUCAAACCAUUAGACCAAGAAAGAAAAACUUCUCAAAGCAAUACACAUUCCUAAAUCGUUUUAUCUCUCUCGCUCGCUAAUUCUUCUCUUUUAUUGCCGUUUAUAAUGUCCGCCGUCGCAGAUUCCGUUAAGAACGGACCAUUAAACUUACCCGAGAAUGAAAAUCUCAGACCUUCGGGAGUCAGCGCCACCGCAUUCCCUAACGAAAACUCUGGCGCUGCGGAGAGAUGGCCAGGUUUUCCUGGUGAUUGCGUGUUUCGUGUGAUCAUUCCGGGGCAUAAGGUCGGAGCUAUUACCGGACGUCAAGGAGAAUUCAUUAGAAAGUUGUGGCAGGAGACUCGUGCUCGCAUACAAGUCCUCGAUGGCCCCGUUAAGACUCCUUAUCGCCUCGUGAGUAUCCUCUCUCUCUAUUUACUAUGUGCAAACAUAACGGGUCUCAAUUAGGCAUAUAGCAAAAUAAAACAUUUGUCUAUGGUCCUCAAAAUAUUAAUGUUUAAUACCUAUAAAUUAAUUUUAAAAUACAUGUAUUGAUCAUUUAAUAAUUGUUUCAAAUUCCAUAAAUUUUAUGUAUGCAAAGAAAUCGGAAUUGAGAUUGUUUUCUUUUUCUGUUUCUAUGCUUUCUCUUAGGGUUGUAACUUCGAUUCCUAGGGUUUUGAUCAUUGUCUUGACAUUCAGUUCUUGGCGGGAAAAUUACAAAACUUUUGGUUUCGAAACAUCGUACGCAAUGUCAAGGAUAUCUCUUUUAUGUUAUGUGUAGGUGAUAAUAUCUGGAAAGGAAAAACCAGAAGCCAAAAUGUCCCCUGCAAUGGACGCAGUCGUCCGGGUGUUCAGGCGAGUUUCAAGCUUGCCUGAUAACGAUGAUGAUGUUCAAAACGCUGGAAGUGCGUUCUCUUCAAUGCGCUUGUUAGUCCCGGGGAUGCAGGCGAGCUCUUUGAUUGGAAAGCAAGGAUCUAUAAUCAGAUCAAUAGUACAGAACUCUGGUGCAUCAGUUCGCAUUUUAUCACAAGGUAAUUAGCAUCAUCAUACGCAUUUUCAUAUGGAACUCUUUUGUUGGUAUUUGAAGUUGUGUGAUUUAUACUUCACAUGAGGCUAUUAGAUAAUGAUACGUUUUUUUUUCGCUAGAUGCAACGCCGUGUUAUGCUGCAAAAGAUGAAAGGAUAGUUGCUUUCCAUGGGGAAGCUUUGAAGAUUGUAAAAGCGUUAGAAGCGGUUGUUGGACACCUAAGGAAAUAUUUAGUUGACCAUUUUGUGAUUCCUUUCUUUGAGGAAGAAGUAAGCUUUAUUGUCUGAAACUAUCCUAGUUCCUUGCUUGUCACGUUUCUCAUUUUUUUUCUAUGAAUUAUCUUUAUUUUUUUAUCUUUAGUAUCUAGCUAGAGUCUUUCAAGAAGAUGGAGCAUUAGCUGACAAGAAUCCAUCUCUCCAUGCUGAACCCUCAAAUGUAACCGAUUAUGAUUCCUGGCUCUUGGCAAGGAGAGAAGCUCUCGUUCUGGAGGGCAAGAAUCGAGUGGAGUCACGUGUUCAGCCUUCAGGAGUUUUAUUUACACAGGAAGAUCCCAUUUUUAGUGCUAUCGAGGUAUGUCAAACAGUUCGAGCUCCAAUCUGCUAUUCCGAUGAUAUUAUUGGUGCACAAGGAGCUAAUAUAAAUUACAUUCGUUGGAGAAGCGGAGCUAUCCUAAUCGUUGAAGAGAGUCUAAAUCCUGGUGAAAUGAUAUUGGUAAUCAAAGGCACAUUUUCUCAAGUAGAAAUUGCUUAUCAACUAAUUCAAGUAAGAACACACAUUCUUCCAUUUAUUUAUACAUUUUUUUUGUGAAAUAGUAUCGUUAAAUUGCUAAGAUUACACUUUAUUAAUUUACAUACUUUUUUUGUUAUUGUUUACGUGUGUGUAGGAGUUAGUCAGCACGCAGAAGUAUCCAGUUUCGGUUUCAGGGGGAAAUGCCAGGAUCGACACUGGCAACGUACCUGUACACCCUCCUCAGCUGAGCAGCCGUCAAGAGCCGCUCUCGAGCAGCUACAUGGGCACAGAGACGGAGCCAAACGCGUGCUCUCAGGUCACGGGUCCUUCCCCCAGCCGUCACUGACUGGGCAAACUUAGGAGCGGAAUAUAGACCAGUUUGUGUAUUGUUCUCAAGGUCUAAUUCAUUUCUAGAUCAAUUUAUGUUUAUAGUCGGGCAGCUCAUUUAUACUAAAGAGGGAAAGAACAAGUGCUAGAAACCAAUGUAUUGAAUGUGUGAUAUAAAUCUAAGUGCCUUUUGUUUUUCCCUUUCAAAUCUCGAUAUGUUCACUGACAGUGUCAAAUAAGAACAGUUUCAUGUUUUUUU